RNAcentral lists this ribosomal RNA (1269 nucleotides) under metagenome. RNAcentral describes it as "SSU rRNA". It matches the Rfam family "Eukaryotic small subunit ribosomal RNA", at positions 487 to 1785 of the family's 1831-position model. The record is from RNAcentral.
AACCCGCUCUAGCGAGUUAUCAUCGGAAUGAGUACAAUCUAAAUCCUUUAACGAGGACCUAGCGGAGGGCAAGUCUGGUGCCAGCAGCCGCGGUAAUUCCAGCUCCGCCAGUGUAUAUCUAUGCUGCUGCGGUUAAAAAGCUCGUAGUUGGAUCUUCGUGUUGAUGCCGGUCUGUCUUUGUGACAUGAACUGAUCAUCAGCACUGUUUCGUUGGUUUUCCCUUGAUGCCUCUAAUCGGGUGUCCUGGGUGGCCAACAUGUUUACUUUGAAAAAAUUAGAGUGCUUAAAACAAGCGAUUUGCUUGAAUAUUCGUGCAUGGAAUAAUAGAAUAGGCUUUAGGCUCUAUUUUGUUGGUUUUCGGAGCACAAGAGAAUGAUUAAGAGGGACAGACGGGGGCAUUCGUACUCCGACGUUAGAGGUGAAAUUCUUGGAUCGUCGGAUGACGCACUACUGCGAAAGCAUUUGCCAAGAAUGUUUUCAUUAAUCAAGAACGAAAGUUAGAGGUUCGAAGGCGAUCAGAUACCGCCCUAGUUCUAACCGUAAACGAUGCCAACUAGCGAUCUGCUGGUGUUUUUUCAGACCCAGCAGGGAGCUUACCGGAAACGAAAGUCUUCAGGUUCCGGGGGAAGUAUAGUUGCAAAGCUGAAACUUAAAGGAAUUGACGGAAGGGCACCACCAGGAGUGGAGCCUGCGGCUUAAUUUGACUCAACACGGGAAAACUCACCCGGCCCGGACACCGUAAGGAUUGACAGAUUGAGAGCUCUUUCUUGAUUCGGUGGGUGGUGGUGCAUGGCCGUUCUUAGUUGGUGGAUUGAUUUGUCUGGUUUAUUCCGAUAACGAACGAGACUCCAACCCACUAACUAGUGGGCGAAUCUUCUUGUUCGCAACACUUCUUAGAGGGACAAGCUGUGUUUAGCAGCAUGAGAAGGAGCAAUAACAGGUCUGUGAUGCCCUUAGAUGUCCGGGGCUGCACGCGCGCUACACUGAAGGAAUCAACGUGCUAGAAAACCUUGUUUGACAUGGCUAGGUAACCCCUUGAAAAUCCUUCGUGAUUGGGAUCGGGACUUGCAAAUGUGUCCCUUGAACGAGGAAUUCCCAGUAAGUGCGAGUCAUCAGCUCGCGCUGAUUACGUCCCUGCCCUUUGUACACACCGCCCGUCGCUGCCCGGAACUGAGCCGUUUCGAGAAGACUGGGGACUGCCGACUUAGGGCCUUCACGGGUUUUUUGUCAGUGGAAACCAAUUUAAUCGCAGCGGCUUGAACCGGGCAA